RNAcentral lists this ribosomal RNA (741 nucleotides) under uncultured bacterium. Its description in RNAcentral is "bacterial SSU rRNA". It matches the Rfam family "Bacterial small subunit ribosomal RNA", at positions 8 to 796 of the family's 1533-position model. The record is from RNAcentral.
AGAGUUUGAUCAUGGCUCAGAACGAACGCUGGCGGCAGGCCUAACACAUGCAAGUCGAGCGCCCCGCAAGGGGAGCGGCGGACGGGUGAGUAACACGUGGGAAUUUUCCUCAAGGUACGGAACAACCCAGGGAAACUUGGGCUAAUACCGUAUGAUGUCUAGCGACCAAAGAUUUAUCGCCUUGGGAUGAGCCCGCGUCAGAUUAGGUAGUUGGUGGGGUAACGGCCUACCAAGCCUGCGAUCUGUAGCUGGUCUGAGAGGACGAUCAGCCACACUGGGACUGAGACACGGCCCAGACUCCUACGGGAGGCAGCAGUGGGGAAUCUUGCGCAAUGGGCGAAAGCCUGACGCAGCCAUGCCGCGUGAAUGAUGAAGGUCUUAGGAUUGUAAAGUUCUUUCGCCCGUGACGAUGAUGACGGUAACGGGAGAAGAAGCCCCGGCUAACUUCGUGCCAGCAGCCGCGGUAAUACGAAGGGGGCUAGCGUUGUUCGGAAUUACUGGGCGUAAAGCGCGCGUAGGCGGUUUUGCAAGCCAGAGGUGAAAUGCCUGAGCUCAACUUGGGAAUUGCCUUUGGGACUGUGAGGCUUUGAGGACUGGAGAGGUGAGUGGAAUUCCCAGUGUAGAGGUGAAAUUCGUAGAUAUUGGGAAGAACACCGGUGGCGAAGGCGGCUCACUGGCCAGUUUCUGACGCUGUAGCGCGAAAGCGUGGGGAUCAAACAGGAUUAGAUACCCUAGUAGUCC